UAGUUUAGCAGAUAUCAGUUUCAGGCUCAUAAACCUUUCACUGAAGUAACGUUUCACUGGAGGCAGAAAUGACCUCAUUGAGCUGAGUGGUUACUGUGUUGAGCCAAAGAACCACAGUUUUUUCAGAACAGAAAUUAAUAAAAUGGAAAACAUCCAUGGUGAGGUAGAAAAUGUGUUAAAGAUAUUAAUAAAUACAAAGGCAAUGCCAUCUUUUUUCAGUCAUUCAUAACUAUGUGAAACUGAAAAGUUAGCACACUGUCUUAAACAAGUUGGGUAGGUCAAUUUACAAGUUGAAUUUGGAGGGUAUACUAUGUCACUACUUCAUUUUACAGCAAAAAAAAAACCUUCUUUGGCUUCUUCUUUUCACAAGCCUGGUAUAGCCACACACACAUGCAUUUCCACGGCAGCUUCACAGCAGGGAAUCACCAUGCUGAACAGCUCUUUUGUGGUCCUACUUGGUAGCGGGGCCGACCGGGGCCAAUCUGUACAUUCACCUCCAUCAAAUCCAAGCGUCGUCUUGUGCUUAACUGACUGACUCAACACAUGUGUGGUUGUGUUAGUAACUAUAGAGAAAGCACUGUUAAGCCUCUCUGUGUUCAGCUCUCUGAACAGUUUAGUUUCACUUAUAUGUUCUUGUUUGUUCUAUUAAGAUCAGCCUUAUUACUUUUAACUUCUUCAGCCAUAUUGAAGCUGCGUGAAGUUACUGCUGAUGCAAACCGACCAUACCUGCUGCUGCUUCACAUUAAAAGCCUUCCAUAAGCAAACUAGUUAAAUGAUUUUAUUAUGAAGGAGCUGGAAAUUGGAAAUGCAAUGUAUUUGUCACAGAGUUACAUAGCUGAACUCUUAUGUAGCGGUGCUAGGAUGUUAAAUAAAAAAAUGGUCAACACAACAAUAUAUUUGGUCAGCUGAAAUAUUGCAAGGAAGGAUGGGUAAAGAAGAAACAGUCACAGAGAGCUACUAAAGUAUUCAGACUUUAGGAUCAGUUCAUCUGAACUACAGCGAUUGUGAAGUUUAGAAAAUCCUUGGCUGUACUGCAAUCCCUAUCUUCACAGUACAUUUUCUUAUGAGGAUGAAGCCAACUUGUGGCUGAUGAUGCAGACAGGCUGCAGACGUCAUCACUUCCCUCGGGAAGGCAACCUAUUUUUACCACUGGGCACAAAGUAUACCAAGCUGCCCAACAUAUUUCUGGAACCGCAUCUAAUCCCAGCCUUCCAGAAAAACAUCUCUCCCCACGCUCUGCAUCUCUCUCUCCAUUCAUCUCACAGACAUGCUGUUCCUUCCAAGGCAUAUUUUUAUCCCUUGAAUUGAGAUGACAGCACUUGUGAAGGUAAAGAAAAAAGAAAGCCAAGUGGACUUGAAAAAUGUACAAAGCUUCUGCACACUACCGCAAAUCAAGAAAGUGCUGGAUCAAAGCAUCUGUAAACUUAGCUCAUGUCGCACACUGGGUGUUUUCAAAAGAGAUAAGUGUACUGAUGCUUUGCCUUCUUUCCAAGGUGGACCAAAAUUCACUGUGUUAUCUGAUAUGGGCCUAAAUGUGGCAAAUGAAGGUGGUGCAUAUACUCAAGGUUUAAACAGUAACAUGGUGAUCUUGAUGAGUAAUUCUCUGCAAAAACAGAUGUUAAAGACAAAAGAAAAGAGACCAAACUAAUGUUGAUAACUACUUGUUAAUGUUAUCAAUUGUUGUUGUGUAGUUGCUGUGAAUAUAAUAAAUAAUAAAAGGUAGAGGUAUUUACCACUUUGAAGGACACACCCAGACCACCUUAUGAAAUGGCUAGUUAAGCUUUCAUGAACAGUACUUUCAAAUGAGUAACACAUGGGUGGCGCCAGGGCAUCAUACAUGGGGAGGUUAAAAUUUCCUGUAUUUUCAUUGUACAAAAUAAGGGCUAUGGCUCCUAUGCUUCUUCCAUUCUCUCUCCUUUAGUUUUACGGGGGUACACUAGUGGAAACAAGCAACACUGUUCAGAUUCACCUGUGACAGAAACCUGGUAGACAAAUAUGUUCCCCAUUAUCCGCAGAGCCAGGACACACACUGACAGUCCCUAUAGUAUUAUACUGUAUUGAGAAAAAUAUCAUUAAGCAUAAGAUACAGGAGGUUUGAAUCACGAGGUAAAGAAUCAGUACAGAGACAGUGAAGUACUACACGUUACCUAUGUUAAACUCACUAUGAAGUCAUUAGAUGUUCUUGGUCCCUAUAUAUAUUGUAGAUGCAGUUACUGCUUUUCAUGACAGAAAAAUAUGUAUAGUACUCAUAAAACAAAAUUUACAGUGUUUAUGUGCUGCUGCUUCCCUUUUGUGGGGGUUUUGUACCUACCUGUUCUGCUGGACUUGGACUGGACUGGCAAGUGCUGGUCUGUGCUUAAUCCUACUGAGGGAAUCCAUAUUUCAGGACGUGGAAACCACCCUUCAAAUAAGACAGUCAUGAGCGACCGCCUCCUUAUCUCUUUUCCUUUCAUUUCAUCCUUUUCUGUCCACAGUUGUGUUUGCUGGUCAGUAUUCCUUCAACUACAAUGUUUCCUAGUUCAAACAGACACAUAUAUAAAGAAUAUCUAGCCUCAGUGGUGGAAGAAGUACUCAGAUCUUUUACUUAAGUGAAAGUAGCAAUACCACAGUGUAAAAAUACUCUGUUGGAAGUAAAAGUCAAGCACUCAAAAUUUUAAUAGUACAAAAGUAUGAGCAUCAAAAUACACUAGUAAAGGUUCUCAUUAUGCAGACUGGCCCAUUUUAGAAUAUAUUACUGGAUUAUAAUUACGGAUGCAUUAAUGUGUACACAUCACUUUAAUGUGGCAGCUGAUAAAGGCGAGGCUAAUAGUUAUUUCUAAAUCUGUAAUAAUACAUCAUAAUUUAUUUGUUGAUUAUAUUUUGUAUUAUUAAUCUGAAUCUGUAGUAACUGUCGUUAGUAACUAAAGUUACUUAAUAAAUGUAGUGGAGUAAAAAGUACAAUAUUUGCCUACGAAUUGUGUGGAGUAGAAGUAUAACGUAGCAGAAAAUGGAAAUACUAGUAAAUUGUACAUAAGUACUGUACUUGAGUGAAUGUACUUAGUUACUUUCCACCACUGUUUAGCCUUUUAGAUACAGCCUGAAGCAAGUAGCUAAAGCUAGCUAGCUAGCUAACAACUGUAACGCAAACCUGUUGGUGGGUAACAUUUAGGUUAGGUAGCUAGCUAGUUAGCAACAAUUAUAAGUGCUGAGUAAACAAUAAACAAUAAAUACCUGUAAGAUAAAAUGGCCUUUAGUUUCAUGGUGGUAAAUUGGCAGUAACCACCUAGAGUUACCCAGUGAUGCCAAAACUACUUUAACUAUUCUUCAAAAUAAGACGGUGUAGUCCCUCAUUCAUCUACGAUACUUUAACUAUUGUAACAUUAAUACCAAUUGAUGGUGUUUAUAUAGCUGUUAGCUAAUCUCCACAACAUGUUAGCACACUUUACAGUAAUUUAAGCUAGCGUUAAAUAUAUUAAAAAAGUAAAGUUAGCUAAAUAUUGCUCAGAAUUACUGUUCAAAAACCCAAGGCCUGACAUCAGCUUUAUUGUUUAGGAUAUCAAAUAUCCUAAAUUUUACGUUUUAAACACGAGAUUACUUCAGACAUUAACAUUAAAAAACAUUAGUCAACGUUGAUGCAAGAUCAAUACACUAACAUUAGCUUAGCUAUUGGUGGACGAUUAAUUAAGCUAACAAAAUCAAACGUUAUCUAGCUCUUUUCUGACAAACUACGAAAACAAACAUUUUGUAAAGAUAUUACUUAAACUAUAAAGUUGAUCAUGUGAAAAUCUGUUAUGAGAGUAUGUCUUUUUAAUAAUCACCUAUUAAUUUAUUUAAACCCCACCAUAUCAACGGACAGAGGUGUUGCAUGGACCGGAAGCAGUACUGAACCGUACUGACAGCCGUUGACUGCUCUUCCACUCGUUUUUUUAAAAAUACCUGUCUGAGAACCUUUAGGGAACGUUCUCUAACGUUUUUUUAAAAUAACCUUCUGGCAACGUUCAUAGAAAUUCCUUAAACAGGAACCUUUAGGGGACGUUCCCUAAAAGUUGCAACAAAUAUAACCAAACGGGAAUUUUUAGGGAAUGUUUCCUGAAGGUUACCUGUUUGCUGGGAUGUUAGCUUAUUGUAAAGUCAUUAAACUCUACCAGUCAACAAGAACAAUUAAAAAAUAUUUAUAAAGAAACACAUAUAAUAACACAUAAACAUACAAUAUAAAAAUGUGAUAACUUUGCCCAUUGCUUGAGGGUUUCAGUAGCUUCAUUUAGUCAGUGUUCAGGAAAAGCUUCAUAAAUACAUUGUUAGACAAUGAUUAAGGCAAGUUGAAACCAGGAGACUUUCUGAAUAUGCAAUGCAUGUGCAGAGGAGCAGUAAAUACUAUCAUUAUCAACAACAUUUAUAUCAGGUCAAUUCUGACCUAGAUAUAAACCCAGAAUAAUAGUGGUCCUAGGAUCAAGCCCUGGGACACAUCAUUAUAUACUGCAGGAAACGAAAGUGAUGCCUUCAGCUUGUACACAUUGCACUGAUGAGUAAAAUUGUAAAAUGUAAAGACAAAACAAGACUGAACCCUUCAUAUGAUACAGUAUAUCAUACAUCUGUGUAUGCUAUCCAUACAUGCCAGCCUUUGGGCAAUUUAGAGUAUUUAGGUGGCUUGACUUGCACUUGUUUGGACUGUGGGAGAACAGGAAAACACAGAAAGGAUCAGGGUUGAUAUUCAAACCAACUUUUCUUGCUGUGAGGUGGCAGCAUCAACCACUGAGCCACUGUACCGCCCAGCAGCAGCAGCAGCAGCAGCAGCAGCAGUUUCUGUCCGGAUGUGGCAGAUCAACCUGUUGUCCUCCCACAUUUACUGUAGAGUAGAUGUUUCAUUAUCUUUUAACACAUCCCAGAUAUAUAUGUAGAUAUAGAUAUAGAUAUAGAUAUAAGGCUGAAACUGUGACUAUAACAUCCUGUCUUGUCCUAAAAUUAAAAGUAUGUCUUUGUUGCGACAUUUAGUGUAAAACCUAAAACUAAGCCUCAAGGGUGAAAUAUAAAUUGCAUGAGACAUUAAGAACAUUUUCCCACAAAAGUUCAUUUACAUUUUUCUGUUUCAUAGUCUGGUUGGAAAAUGGAUGGAAACCACCAUUUAAGAUUAAUGAGGCACAUUUCUGUCACUUCUAUCUUUCUUAUUUUCUACUUGGAAAAUAAGAAGAGAUAUUAUUGAUUCUGUGGGACUAUUAGAUUGUUGUAGCUGCAAAAUAAUGAGAAAAAUAAUCUUAUAUUAUGAUUAUCAAGGUAAGCAAGAUAAGCAGGCUAGUAUAGCACUGACUACACCCUCAGUAACAAACUUCAGUCAGGAUCAAAAACAUAAUGUUUAAUAAGCAAGGAAACAGAUAAAAGAAAUUAAUACAUAUAAAUAAAAAAUAAAUAAUAUAGAGUAUGAAUUAAACUGGUUAUAUUGAAAUGUCUUCAUGUGAACUUCAUCUAAAUGUGUCAUAAAGUGACUGUAAAUAUGUAAAUAUGGGGCUACAUUAAUGUGUAAUGUCCCCCCCAUAACAGAAAUACAUACAGUAACUUGUUCUGGGGAAAAAAUAAAUCAAAUGUCGGAUGCUUUUGUCUGUUUUUCUACAACAGAUGAUAUUUAACCAUGAAAAGUUGUAGGCCUGGUGAGGUUUUGUGGUGAAGUGUGUGACAUUGUGUGUUUUUGUGUGUGGGCACAGGUGUGUUUUGUACAAACCCCCAGUACACACACACACACACACACACACACACUGUGUGUGGGGUUCCUACAUCCUCUGUGAGUGUGGAACUUCACCUACACUUUGAAACUACGUCAUCAGGCCCAGUGGAGGAGGUUAGUGUACAUGUAAUACAUGUGACACAAAUACAUGUGUACUUCUACCUGUCAGGAUUGAUAUUCACUUUAUUUACUACUGAACGUUUAGUGCUAAAAAAACAAAAACAAAUUUCAUCCAUCGGUCGAGUCCAUCGGUCAGAGCAUGCUAAUGCCUUUAAGGCUUAAUCUUGUUCUAAAAAUACAUAAAAUAAUUGAUAAUAACUGUAACAGUAGCGGAUGCUUUCUUCGACCAUCAACAUUACAACCAAAAGUCUGGAGGUCCAAACUCACAGCACCACGGCUGCAGAUCAAUAUAUUCAUAUAAACCCAGAAUGAUCAUGUAUGAAAGAUAAGUGCUGCAAAAGGAAGUGAGAUCUAAAAUUAGGUUUUGUUUGACAUCUGUUUUAUUUUUGAGCACACUUGCCCACACAAAGUCUCCACCUUCAAAUCCCGUCUUAAAACACACCUUUUUAAACUGGCAUGUUUGGUCUGAUUCUGUCUCUAAUGGCUACAACCACAGUUUGAGUUUAACACUGAUGAAGAUUAUAUACCUAGUUAUUGUUUUAACUUAUUAUAGUAUAUUACUGCUUUGUUUGAUUUUAUGAUGUCUUGAUACACUGUUGCUUGUUUUUAACUGUGCCUGUAAGGUGUUCUUGAGUGCUUUGAAAGGCACCUAUAAAUAAAAUGCAUUAUUAUUAUUAUUACAUACCUGCCAUUCAGGCACUGUAACAUUGUUGGCCAGGAUCAAGACACAACAUUUAUCUAGUAAACUACUUUGACAUUAUACAAAACUUUUUUUUAUUACAUCCAUGAAAACUUGCCAAACCAGGUGCCAGCGAAACAACAUACAGUAACACUUCACUUAUGCAUUGGGCUUCAUUAGCUUUAAAAAACCUCACAGUAGAUUCAUGAGAAAUUCAUUUGUGAAGGUGAAAGUAAGCCAACUGUUAAAGUAUCUGUUUCACAACAGAAGAUGGAUGCUUGUUUCUAAUACCUUUAAAGGGCCCUUAUCUGCUUUACUCCCCUCCAUUAAUCACAAAUAAUGUACAAGUACAAACCACACAUCUACAUGUUGCUCAAUACAGUACAAAACGUUCUUGAUCUCCUUUGGGCUCCUGCACAGCAGAAAGUGAACUAACCGAUGCCAAGCCUUCCUGACAGCUCAUCACUCUGGGCCCUGACUUGCAGCAUUAACCCACAGUCACUGAUAAAAAAUGACUGCUGGAGGCCUGAGUGUACUCCUCAGCUCAUGUUGACUUGUGUUUGAAGAAUUUAGACCAUUUAGCUGUCACAUGACACACUAUUACAUUAUGAAACACUAAAAGGCUCUUUACUGAGUGUUUUUAAUCUGGAAAACGUUACGAUAAAUGUCAGGAUUCCUCAUCCCAAUGGGGUUAGUGUCAUACUGAAUGGCGAGGGAACAGUUUGUUCUGCAGCACCAUACAGGUAUCUUUUAGCCCAUUGACUAUUGGCAACCAUUUUUAAAACAUACAAUAUUUUUUUAAUUGAUUUCCUACCUGCCAAGCAGUAUGUGGUUCAAUUUCUGUCAGUACUUCUAUAAAUCAAUUAGAUCUGAAACUUCCUUGAGAAAGGUAUCCAUCACCUUAACAUUUGGUGGCGUGGCUCUAGUGAUGGCACUGUCUGUAGUCAGUUGGUCGACACACCUCUUGGUUGGUCCAGAAUGAAAUAUCUUGACAGCCAAUGGAUGGAUUACUAUGCAAUUCAGUACAGACAUUCGGGUUGCCCAGAGGAUGACUUGUUGAUCCCCUGACUUUUCGUCUAGCGCCACAAGCAAGUCAAAGUUUUUGCCAGUUUUUUUCACUUUUAUCCAGUGAAAUAUCUCUACAUCUAAAUCAGGAAAGUCAAUUAUUUUAUUGUUGUUUUGUUUGAAUGCUGGGUUGCUUCCUUCUCUACCGGCAUUGCAUAACUCCUAUUCAAAUUUUAAAGUCCAGUUUGCAAUUUCAUUUUGAAAUAGCAUAUUGUCUGCCAGUUUGCAAAAGAAAAUGCACACAAAAGAAAAAUCAAAUUUCAAUUUGAAUAAAUUCUACAUUUCAAAAUGUUUCUCUGUAAUUUGUCACCGUAAGUGUUGUCUAAUGCACACCUGCUAAACAGGUGCAUAGGAAAAGGAAAUAAUGUAAAAGAAAAUGUUAAUUAGUUAUUGCUGCCUGUAUAUUGUGUCAAGUAUAAAUAUGGUGUUGGUUUACUUUGUGAAUUUGAUACCUAUAAAGGUCCAUACAUUGUAAUCUAAUAAACUCUAAACUGCUGGCAGUGUGCAGGAAUUCAACUUUUUCUCUUAGUGCACUUCCAACUGCAUAACAACACAAUACGAUAAUGUAACUCUAAAGUGAUCCAAAAUCUAUUUUUUGAGUAUCAAACUCUCACUUUUAGGUAGAUUUGAAAAGUUCUAAUACUGAUUGAUCAAACACGAGUUUUUCAUGGUUAAAAUCAACAUCAAAAUGUUCUGAUACUGACACUGACACACACUCCUGCAACAAAAUCUGUCUGUAUCUAUAAAUGUUCAACUGUUUCACCAAAUUAAGGCUACAUACACUGCUUCUGUGCCUUGAUUUUACACAAGACAAACUAUAACAUUUUAAUGAAUAUUUCCACAAUUGUGGGGAAAUUAUUUGACCUGACAAUUACAACAUGUUAAGAACAAAUUAAUUUGAAAUCCAUCAACCAUGGAUAAUUACUAUGAGAGGCAGCAAAACUUCAGUGUCCAGAAAAACUGGAAAUUUGUCAUACUUAACUCUUUGUUAAUAUAUGUUGCUCACAUUUUGUAUUGGUUAGUUGUAAAUUAAGGGGAAAGGAGAAUGAAAGAAUGUGAUGUGUGUGUGUUACAUCCUUAUCCAGAUAUCUGCAGGCUCAGCACCCCCACUCUACACUAAUACUUGGCUUUUCGACAAAAAUAUCUCUCCUCUGUUGGUUUACUCCCCCCCCACCUCCAUUUCCGCCACAGCGUUAAGAGAUCUGACAUCAUGUGAUCCACCCACACAGAGCUUUGCAGUGGUGGACCUGUGACGCACAUAUUUCUUCUAUGUAACCCUUUACAAGCCAAAUCACUGUUUGUUAAUGAAGGAAACAGUGGACAUUAUUCAUGAUAUUUGGCUGAAAAUACUUUGGGAUAUUGAUUGAUUAUUAAACAUUUAGCUUAAUAAAUUGAUUGCGGAUUGACUGGCUGCUUUGUGUAUUUAUGGACAAACCUCAAACAACAUCACAUGAAAAGGGAGGAAACCAAACACAUAUUUUGUCACAUUAGUUUGUCACAUUAAAGGAACAAUUCAUCUGCAAUGUUCAGUAACAUAUUAUGUUAUAUAUUAACACCUGAUGAAACACCACAACAGUAUUUCUAAAGUGCAUUUACUGUGGCUUGAAGUGCGUUUGUAGUACACAAUAGUGAUUUUAUACAAGUGUAUAAGUGCAGUAAAUUUAGCAGGAGGGAAAAUCCUGACAAAAUGUACAGACCAUGAACAAACAGAGGUAGUAUUUUUUAAACUCUUCUAGUUAAUCAUGACAUUAAAUGGAACACUCCUGGACGAAUGAGGGACUACACCGUCUUGUUUUGAAGAAUUUUGGGCAGAAAACCUUAGAUCUGGUUCGGGAAAUCGAAAACACAGCCAGGAAAUUAGCAGACCACAGGAACCAUCUCCAUUUUAAUCUAAGAUGCAGGCAGAGCAAGAUACCUUUUCUACCAUGACAUUAAAUGUUAAAAAGGGAAAUUAAAAUACUGUAAUUAGAAAUGGAUACCAAUUUGAUAUCGAUUUAAAAAUGGAAAGUGAAAUUGGAAAAUCUAAGUGGAAAUUGAAAUGAUCAUGUGACUUGGAUGGGUGUGAAACCAGAUCCAACGAAAAAAACAACUUGAAACGGUUAACUGACCAGAGGAAGUGUUGAAAUCAGAUCAGUUUCAGAUCUCCUAAUUCUGAUGUGCAGGAAUACCACAAGUGUCUUGGCUGAGUGCAUAAAACAGAAGUAAGCAGAAAGACAUAAACCGGUUUUCUUGACCAGACAGAUGUAUAAUGAAAAUCACAACUGUUCAUGUCUGGAAUUAUGCAAGCUGGCAUUUCUAUUACAUCCUGCAGUUUAGCAAUUAUCAUUCUUACAUUAAAUAUUUAAAAAACAAAAUAGUAAUAAUAAUUUUACUAGUUUGAAAAUGUAAACAAGACAUGUACCAGUCAAAACUCACCAUGACAUCAAACCUCAAUGUACCACCUCAAUGUUUGUAGUUUCUCCCUCCUCUCCAUGGCAAUGGAACUGGUACCAAAGAUCGUCUAUUGAGAAAAUGAAUAACUCUGUAGAGAGUGAACCUACAUUCUUGACAUUGGAAACAGUAGUUUAAAAAAAAUCUUAACACAAGGUCCAUUUACAAUAUUUUUUUUUCCUGGAGCUUUUGACCAUAUCUCACGGUCUUCCUCAGCAGAUGCUCACUUGUCACGGACCGCCUAUAUCAAUAUAACUGAGCAUGACUGAAGUUCAUAUUCCCUGUUUGUCUGCUGUCAGUGACUUUAACACAUUGAGAGGCAAAACAAACUUCAUGUUAGUUGUUUUUCAAGGUAAAUGUUUGGAAAGUUGUGUUUACUUGGUUUCGUAGUGUGUGUAACUUAGGGGGUGGCCAAAUAUAGUUGCUGUGUUUUGGUAAAACCCACAAAAAUCCUCUCUCAGCCAGUGGUUAAAAGGAAAAGCAAGCUUCCUAUAUGGAAAAAUCAACAUUUGCAAUAAAGGAAAAACCCAAGGACUUUGAAAAGAUGUUGGAUAGUCAUUGAUGAAAAAUAAAAAAUAAUGCCAUGAAUUCCCUAACACACCAUUUGUUUCACUCAUUUUGCCUUUGACUGUGUGGGCAUGUACAGACUGCAACUGACCCAUGUCUUCCUCACUCCCAUUUCUCUGUUGGACCUCGAAGGGAGGAACAAUUUACACCUUAAUGACUGCUAUGAGUUUAUCAAGUUGGGUGACUACAGCUAAUUACAAGCAUAUCUCCACUUCAACCUGAGCAGAGGUCUAUAUAGCUAAUAAG
Long non-coding RNA from Siniperca chuatsi (mandarin fish), 10802 nucleotides. RefSeq lists it as uncharacterized. The transcript is spliced from 3 exons. The record is from RefSeq and is a predicted model, not a curated record. Lineage: Eukaryota; Metazoa; Chordata; Actinopteri; Centrarchiformes; Sinipercidae.